GGUGUUUCUGGGCAUCUAAAGCACAGAGGCUGGGAAGAUUCUGUGAAGUAAACAGCAUGGAAUACAAGGAGUAUUUAGAUUUAUCAUAUCACAAGAGGGAUCUGCCCAGUGUCCAAGAUGAUGUUUGAGAUUGAGGCUUCAGGUGCCACUCCUAAUAAAGGCCACAGCCUUGGAAUCAGGAUUAAGCUGGAGCCUGAGGGAGCCAGGCACGCUCAGGAGAGG
Long non-coding RNA from Melospiza melodia melodia, 222 nucleotides. RefSeq lists it as uncharacterized. The record is from RefSeq and is a predicted model, not a curated record. NCBI's taxonomy places the organism in Eukaryota, Metazoa, Chordata, Aves, Passeriformes, Passerellidae. The transcript has 3 exons.